This 423-nucleotide ribosomal RNA is filed under the name Cutibacterium acnes. RNAcentral describes it as "bacterial LSU rRNA". It matches the Rfam family "Bacterial large subunit ribosomal RNA", at positions 2017 to 2440 of the family's 2925-position model. Lineage: Bacteria; Bacillati; Actinomycetota; Actinomycetes; Propionibacteriales; Propionibacteriaceae. The record is from RNAcentral.
UGUCUCCACCAUGAACUCGGUGAAAUUGCAUUACGAGUAAAGAUGCUCGUUACGCGCAGCAGGACGGGAAGACCCCGGGACCUUUACUAUAGUUUGGUAUUGGUGAUUGGGACGGUUUGUGUAGGAUAGGUGGGAGACGUUGAUGCGGCCACGCUAGUGGUGGUGGAGUCGUUGGUGAAAUACCACUCUGAUUGUUCUGGUUAUCUCACUGUGGACCGUGAUCCGGUUCAAGGACAGUGCCUGAUGGGUAGUUUGACUGGGGCGGUCGCCUCCUAAAGGGUAACGGAGGCGCCCAAAGGUUCCCUCAGCCUGGUUGGUAAUCAGGUGGUGAGUGUAAGUGCACAAGGGGGCUUGACUGUGAGACUGACAGGUCGAGCAGGGACGAAAGUCGGGACUAGUGAUCUGACGGUGGCUUGUGGAUGC